This 533-nucleotide ribosomal RNA is filed under the name Streptococcus sp. W57. RNAcentral describes it as "bacterial SSU rRNA". It matches the Rfam family "Bacterial small subunit ribosomal RNA", at positions 8 to 524 of the family's 1533-position model. The record is from RNAcentral. Lineage: Bacteria; Bacillati; Bacillota; Bacilli; Lactobacillales; Streptococcaceae.
AGAGUUUGAUCCUGGCUCAGGACGAACGCUGGCGGCGUGCCUAAUACAUGCAAGUAGAACGCUGAAGACUUUAGCUUGCUAGAGUUGGAAGAGUUGCGAACGGGUGAGUAACGCGUAGGUAACCUGCCUACUAGCGGGGGAUAACUAUUGGAAACGAUAGCUAAUACCGCAUAACAGUGUUUAACACAUGUUAGAUGCUUGAAAGAUGCAAUUGCAUCACUAGUAGAUGGGCCUGCGUUGUAUUAGCUAGUUGGUGGGGUAACGGCCUACCAAGGCGACGAUACAUAGCCGACCUGAGAGGGUGAUCGGCCACACUGGGACUGAGACACGGCCCAGACUCCUACGGGAGGCAGCAGUAGGGAAUCUUCGGCAAUGGGGGCAACCCUGACCGAGCAACGCCGCGUGAGUUAAGAAGGUUUUCGGAUCGUAAACUCUGUUGUAAGAGAAGAACGUGUGUGAGAGUGGAAAGUUCACACAGUGACGGUAACUUACCAGAAAGGGACGGCUAACUACGUGCCACCAGCCGCGGUAAU